This is a small nuclear RNA of Artibeus jamaicensis (Jamaican fruit-eating bat), 164 nucleotides long. RefSeq annotates it as U1 spliceosomal RNA. The record is from RefSeq and is a predicted model, not a curated record. The transcript has a single exon. NCBI's taxonomy places the organism in Eukaryota, Metazoa, Chordata, Mammalia, Chiroptera, Phyllostomidae.
AUACUUACCUGGCAGGGGAAGUACUAUGAUCUCGAAGGUGGAUUUUCCAGGGUGAGGCUUAUCCAUUGCACUCUGGAUGCGCUGUCCCCUGAGAUUUCCCCAAAUGUGGGAAACUCAGCUGCAUAAUUCAUGGUAGUGGGGGACUGCUUGCACACUCUGCCCUG